Molecule: long non-coding RNA, 806 nt
Filed under: Monodelphis domestica (gray short-tailed opossum)
Lineage: Eukaryota; Metazoa; Chordata; Mammalia; Didelphimorphia; Didelphidae
Description: lncRNA (ENSMODG00000039867.1)
Source: RNAcentral
ACCUUCUGUCAGCAGGCUCUUGCCCACCCUGGGGCCUCCUUAUUAGCCAUCAUGUAGAAAGCAAAAAAGCUCUUCCAAGGAGCCAUCAGUCUCCUUGAUUACAGGGAAGGGAUAGUCCACUGGCGUUCACAGCUUUACAAUGGCAGAGAUCGUGAGAUCAAAGAGCAUGAACUGGAAGGGUCCUCACAGGUCACUGAGUACGAACCUGUCUUAGCCUUCAUUUCUUCAUCGAUAGUAUGAGGAUAAAAACAGCACCAAUCUCAGAGGGUUUUUAUAAGCAUCAACAAGAGAUGGAAAAAAAAACCCUGAGGCCCCAACUGAUUAAGUGAUUUGUCUAAGGAAACAAAGUAAAAAGUAACAGAGCCAGAAUCCAAACCCAGCUCUAGAUUCCAGAUUGAAGACUCUCUCCAUUGUUCUACAAGGACUAAACAAAUGCAAUGAUAUAUAAGGUAGAAGAACCAAUCAGCAGUUAAUGAUCUUCCCCGAAAAGAUCUUACCUUUAUGAGGACAGAGGACCAGCUGCCUUCUUGCAUAUUUACUCUGUAUAUAGCCGGUGCUCAGCUGGUCUUAAGAAAGCAGAUUUCAAUGGAGCCAAGGUGGAGGAGUAAAGACAGGCACUGACCAGAGCUCUCCCAAAUUCACCUCCAACAACUUUAAAAUAAUGCCUCAAAAGAAAAUCUGGGGAAGCAGAACCAACAAGAGGAUGAGAUGAAACAAUUUACCCAGUCAAAGACAACUUAAAAGGUUAGUAGAAAAUAUCUCUUUCACUUUGGUGAGAAUGGAGCACUGUCCAAUAGAAUACAUGU